CCCCCACCCGCCCCCCAAGAGCUUCAGAGGCCCUAUAGGUGACUGAGAACAUGCUCAGGUGGGGGCCCAUCAGGCUUGAUUUGCACCUGGUUGAAGCUCUUGCAAUUGUAGCCCACCCACCCCAUCCCACGCUAACCACCAUCUCAGGCAGGACGAUCAUGACCCACACAUGCAUCUUUACCAUCUCAGGCUUUCCGUGGGCGGCGCCUGGGUUUCAGCCUCACGCAGCCGCGUUGGCCCAGAGCAGGCUUCUUGCAAAGGUCUCUUCCGCCCGCCGCGCUGUCCCCGCUGCUUGCGCUGCUGGUGGGAUGUUUUCAAGCGGGUGAUCGAAGUCCACGUCAAGGACCCCCCGACACCCUAUCUGCUUACAAAUAAUGCCCAUUUAAGAAAGAAACAGCUACCAAGUGGGGCAAGCAACUUGGCUGUAUUCCAAGCCCUGGUUCCACCUGUUCCAAGCUCCUCAGGCUUCUACCUGUACUUUCUUGUCUGGAAAUAAUUGAGACAGCGGGGCGAUCAUGCUCCCCGUUAUCUCCAGCUGGAACAGUCUGCUCUUCCAAGCUCCUCAGGCAAGGCAGAGGGACGGAUCCACUGCAGAGAUAAACUAGCCUCUGCCCUCCCCAGCCCUUCUCUGUUCACACAGGAGGUUUUCAUUUUGAUCAGGCAAUAUUCACAAAUGACAGAUCCAAAAACUUAAGUACUGAGUAAAAAUAAAGACACCA
Molecule: long non-coding RNA, 719 nt
Organism: Bos indicus x Bos taurus (hybrid cattle)
Lineage: Eukaryota; Metazoa; Chordata; Mammalia; Artiodactyla; Bovidae
Source: Ensembl